GUUUGGUUCUACCUGUAAAAUUUUUUAUUUCAAACGGGAUAGCACAUCCUCAUUUUUACGGAGAUGUUGUUUACCGUGCCAUUGGAUGUUGGAUGUGUAAUGAUUGAUAAUUUAGUCUCAGAUGCAUUACUUUUUAUUAGUUGUAAUUGGCUUUGAACUAGCUGUCAGUAACUGCAAGUACUCUCAGAUCUGUACUUAGUGUCUUUUUGUUGAUGGGAUGUACAAGUACUCGGUCACGUCCACUCUCUGUUUUUUGUUAGAUGUAUUUCUAUUUGUAUCCAUCUGAUGAGUUAAGCCUUUUUCAACUGAUUUGUAUAGUUCGUUCUUAUGUUGUACUGUUACACCACUGUCCCAGGUUAAGGGGAGGGUUGGGAUCCCGCUAACAUGUUUAACCUCGCCACAUUCUGUAUGUAUGUGCCUGUCCAAAGUCAGGAGUCUUUAAUUCAGUGGUUGUCGUUUGUUGCUGUGUUACAUAUUUGUUUUUUGUUCAUUUUUUUAUACAUAAAUUAGGCCGUUAGUUUUCUCGUUUGAAUUGUUCUACAUUUGUCAUUUCAGGUCUUUUUAUAGCUAACUAUGAGGUAUGAGCU
RNAcentral lists this long non-coding RNA (587 nucleotides) under Mytilus galloprovincialis (Mediterranean mussel). Lineage: Eukaryota; Metazoa; Mollusca; Bivalvia; Mytilida; Mytilidae. The record is from RNAcentral.